UGGAAAACAGAGUGGAUCAUCAGACUAAGAACCAAAUAACAUAUGAUAUACAUUUACCAUCUGAUUUGGGAACGCUUUAUAAAGUGAGACUUGGUCUCCAGAGUUUGGAAAACAGCAUAUCCCAGUUGUCUCUUCAUCACUUUAAAAUACAGAACACAUCGACCCUGGAUACCUUUAGUCUCACCAUAAAUAAAACACUUCCUCUUUCCCUUAAUGGAGACAGAUGGAUUGAAUUCCCCAUACAGUGGCCAUUAAAAGAAGCACUUUCUGUGGUUACAUAUCAUCUAACAGUAUUUUCUGGAAAUAUUUUGAGUGAGAGAAAUUUAGUGCACGUGACUGCAUGUAUAUAUGGUAGUCGUGGCGACACAGGGG
This 372-nucleotide long non-coding RNA is filed under the name Lepidothrix coronata (blue-crowned manakin). RNAcentral describes it as "lncRNA (ENSLCOG00000004355.1)". Lineage: Eukaryota; Metazoa; Chordata; Aves; Passeriformes; Pipridae. The record is from RNAcentral.